Molecule: ribosomal RNA, 468 nt
Filed under: uncultured bacterium
Lineage: Bacteria
Description: partial 16S ribosomal RNA
Rfam family: Bacterial small subunit ribosomal RNA
Source: RNAcentral
GACGAACGCUGGCGGCGUGCUUAACACAUGCAAGUCGAACGGAAAGGCCCUGCUUUUGUGGGGUGCUCGAGUGGCGAACGGGUGAGUAACACGUGAGUAACCUGCCCUUGACUUUGGGAUAACUUCAGGAAACUGGGGCUAAUACCGGAUAGGAGCUCCUGCUGCAUGGUGGGGGUUGGAAAGUUUCGGCGGUUGGGGAUGGACUCGCGGCUUAUCAGCUUGUUGGUGGGGUAGUGGCUUACCAAGGCUUUGACGGGUAGCCGGCCUGAGAGGGUGACCAGCCACAUUAGGACUGGGAUACGGCCCAGACUCCUACAGGAGGCAGCAGUGGAGAAUAAUGCGCAAUGGGCGGAAGCCUGAUGCAGCAACGCCGCGUGCGAGAUGACGGCCUUCGGGUUGUAAACCGCUUUCGCCUGUGACGAAGCGUGAGUGACGGUAAUGGGUUAAGAAGCACCGGCUAACUACGUG